CCAGGACCCAAGCUCCAGUCUCCCCUGCCUCUCCAAGCCAUGGGCCCCCUGCCAGGUAAGGGCACUGGCCAAGGCCCAAUGAGGGCAGGGCAGGCCCCUUUCCUCACGGGGCCUGCUCAGAGUUCAAGGGUUCUGAGAGAUCAUCCAGGCUUCCUUUAAACUGCUGCUGCAGCUGAGGCUGGAGUUUGGAGUUUGACCUGUGUGGAACCUUUCUCAGCAGCAGGCAAGGAGGCAGGGCCUCUACUGUCCUCUGCUGCAAAGAACAGGAAAUCCCAGGGGGUCUCCCUUCUCACAGCCACUGCCUUCUGCCUCUGAAGUCCCUGAGAACCUAGGGCGGUACAGCCUGCAAUCCUGAAGAAGCACACCCACUGGACGCCUACUUCAUCAGGAUUCCAGCUG
RNAcentral lists this long non-coding RNA (399 nucleotides) under Rattus norvegicus (Norway rat). RNAcentral's name for it is "long non-coding RNA NONRATT001181". The record is from RNAcentral. Lineage: Eukaryota; Metazoa; Chordata; Mammalia; Rodentia; Muridae.